Molecule: ribosomal RNA, 258 nt
Filed under: uncultured bacterium
Lineage: Bacteria
Description: partial 16S ribosomal RNA
Rfam family: Bacterial small subunit ribosomal RNA
Source: RNAcentral
UGGCGAACGGGGUGAGUAAUACAUCGGAACGUGUCCGCUCGUGGGGGACAACCAGCCGAAAGGUUGGCUAAUACCGCAUGAGUUCUACGGAAGAAAGAGGGGGACCCGCAAGGGCCUCUCGCGAGCGGAGCGGCCGAUGAUUGAUUAGCCGGUUGGUGAGGUAACGGCUCACCAAAGCAACGAUCAGUAGCUGGUCUGAGAGGACGACCAGCCACACUGGGACUGAGACACGGCCCAGACUCCUACGGGAGGCAGCAG